UGUGACCUAAUAUGUCGACAUUGUGAUAUUAAAUCUCCAGCAUAUCAGCUCUAGAUCUCAGCCAAAUCCACUGUAUAUCAUCAUAUAUAUAGAUUGGGAGAGAGAAAAUGUCAUUUGGUAGCUUAUUUUUGCACAACACAUAUCCUAGAGCUUCUCUCUCUAAAACCUCUGAUAUUUCCUUCAUAUAUCAGUCACAAAUCAAACCCACUUACACUCACAACAAAUCAGAGGCAUAUAUUCAAGAAUUUGUGCUUAAAAGUAUAAAACCCUAAUAAAAAAUUUAACCCUUGAUCUUCUGUUAAAAGUUGUGUCUAUGUGUUGUAAUAUGUUCUAUGUAGUGUGAAUCAAUGAUCUGGGUUGAUAGAUGUUAG
Molecule: long non-coding RNA, 371 nt
Filed under: Panax ginseng (ginseng)
Lineage: Eukaryota; Viridiplantae; Streptophyta; Magnoliopsida; Apiales; Araliaceae
Description: long non-coding RNA (PGIN_LNC014279)
Source: RNAcentral